AAGGAAUCUAGAGAAGUCUCUUUCUUUGGUCUGUUGGCCUUUCAGAACUUAGGAAAUGUAAUAGUCAAUUCAUUAGAAAGAAACAUCU
This 88-nucleotide small nucleolar RNA is filed under the name Ovis aries (sheep). The record is from RNAcentral. Lineage: Eukaryota; Metazoa; Chordata; Mammalia; Artiodactyla; Bovidae.